Molecule: non-coding RNA, 90 nt
Organism: Pelobates cultripes (western spadefoot toad)
Lineage: Eukaryota; Metazoa; Chordata; Amphibia; Anura; Pelobatidae
Source: the annotation of a GenBank genome assembly
UCUCUCUACCAUGCUCCCUCGUGGUUCCCACAAUUCCAAGCACAUGCUGUGCUGGUAAUUGUGGGAACCGCAAGGGAGCAUGGUAGAGAG